RNAcentral lists this ribosomal RNA (459 nucleotides) under uncultured bacterium. RNAcentral's name for it is "partial 16S ribosomal RNA". It matches the Rfam family "Bacterial small subunit ribosomal RNA", at positions 338 to 795 of the family's 1533-position model. The record is from RNAcentral.
CCUACGGGAGGCAGCAGUGAGGAAUAUUGGUCAAUGGACGAGAGUCUGAACCAGCCAAGUAGCGUGAAGGAUGACUGCCCUAUGGGUUGUAACCUCCUUUUUAAAGGAAUUAAACGAGGCACGUGUGCCCUUUUGCAUGUACUUUAUGAAUAAGGAUCGGCUAACUCCGUGCCAGCAGCCGCGGUAAUACGGAGGAUCCGAGCGUUUUCCGGAUUUAUUGGGUUUAAAGGGAGCGUAGAUGGGUUGUUAAGUCAGUUGUGAAAGUUUGCGGCUCAACCGUAAAAUUGCAAUUGAUACUGGCAGUCUUGAGUACAGUUGAGGUAGGCGGAAUUCGUGGUGUAGCGGUGAAAUGCUUAGAUAUCACGAAGAACCCCGAUUGCGAAGGCAGCUUACUAAACUGUGACUGACAUUGAUGCUCGAAAGUGUGGGUAUCAAACAGGAUUAGAUACCCGUGUAGUC